This 73-nucleotide transfer RNA is filed under the name Cordylochernes scorpioides. RNAcentral describes it as "tRNA-Thr". It matches the Rfam family "tRNA". From Rfam's summary of the family: Transfer RNA (tRNA) molecules are approximately 80 nucleotides in length. Their secondary structure includes four short double-helical elements and three loops (D, anti-codon, and T loops). The record is from RNAcentral. Lineage: Eukaryota; Metazoa; Arthropoda; Arachnida; Pseudoscorpiones; Chernetidae.
UCCAGGGUAGCCUAGUGGACAUGUCAGCUGCCCGGUAAGCGGAACACUGUGGGUUCGAUUCCCAUCCCUGGAC